RNAcentral lists this long non-coding RNA (4025 nucleotides) under Olea europaea (common olive). RNAcentral describes it as "long non-coding RNA (OEUR_LNC001046)". The record is from RNAcentral. Lineage: Eukaryota; Viridiplantae; Streptophyta; Magnoliopsida; Lamiales; Oleaceae.
AAAGAGUCAAUAUUUAAUAAUACCAGAAACACAGAAAUAAAAGAGAAGUUAAGGAGGAAUUGCAUCCAUCAUAAGCAUCUGGUAUUAGAGUGUAAACAACUAGCUGAGAUACAGUAUCAGAUGGAAGUACCAAAAAUUGUUUCAGUGAUAUACUUCAAUUUAUAUGUGUGUGUGUGUGUACGUAUGCAUGUAUUGAGACCUUUCAUAGAAAUUUGAGGUGGCAUAGCAUGACAAUUGCUCAAAUUAGUGCUCUUGUUCAUUAUUUACCCAGUUGCCGUGUUGAAUUUUUACUUCUGAAUGCAGUGGAUUAGUAAAUUUGAAACCAUAUUUUGACUUACAGUAACCCUAUUUUGGCUUACAGUUUCAGAUUAAUUUUAUUCUCUCCGCAAUGGAGAGUCUCCAUGAAAUAUUUUCACCAUCAAUCUAAUAUUACCACCCUCUCUGUACUUAUUUGCAUGAUCAGCAGUUAAUAACACAACAAUUUUUUUUAAUUUCAACCAAAUUAUGCAAUGGUUCAGAAAGCAAUCUAAGAUUGGAUAAAUUUGAAAAUAGAGAAAACAAAAACCUGGCUUCUGUUCCCAAUUUUCCUUAGUCCUUCAUUCCCAAAAACAAAUUCACUUGAUCCUACACUUAUAUUGACAUGAAAUCUGAACUAACAUAACUGACCUACCUGGACCUAUAUAAUUAGAAAAAUCAAACAAUUUCACAAAGAUAAUGUAUUAAAAAAACAUUUAUAAGACUAAACCCCUGUUCGAUUAGGCGAAAAAUCAUAUUUUUAGUAUGUUUUGAUAAAAGUUGAUGAAACGUGUGUUUGAAAAGUUGAUAAAAGUUGUGAAUCCCAUAAAAUGUGUGGUUGAAAUGAAGUUUGGGGGAAAAUGAGUUUUAAAAAUUUGGGGUCAAACAAGGGUUAGUUCUAAACAUUGUUUUGAUUGGUAGCAUUUUAUGUAUCCUUGCCAGGAAAAUAAGUUUGUAAAUAUCAACGUAUUGAUCAAGCAUACCAGGUCAGCAACAUUUCCAACACAUUCUCCCUUGGCAGUCACAUCUCCAAUAUUUUCUCCUUUAGCAAAGGCCUUGUAUAUUGGAGUUCGAGUUGAGGUAGAUGUGACAGCGGCAACAUUCUACAAGCACAUGAAGAUGAAUGUGUGAAGGUAGUUUUCCAUUGCAAGACAUUAAGAAAUGAGAAGGACAACAAUAGACAAAACCUUGGCCACGUUGGCAGCACAAGCUAAUGGAAGAAAUAGAUGUGGAACAGCUGCAGUUGCUAACUCUACCCCAGCUCCCAACUCCAUUAGAAGGUCACCAGCAAUCCGAAGCUGAGUGAUGUGAAACCAUCAGAAGAUACGGAGUUGUAUUUGUAGUGUUUCCAGCAACAAUAAAUACAUUGGCUAAUCAUAAAUCAUCCUUCCUCUUCGAUGUCCAAACCUAAGGAAUAGAAUACCUGCUUUAGAUCGUAAUCAAAUUUCCUUCCCUGCCUUGCAAAAAGCAUCUUCCCAACCCGUCCAGCACCAUCCUAUAAUUAGCCAUACCACAGAAUAUUAUUAGUUCCUUUAAAAAGCAAGAGAAUCCUCUUCUCCUCGUGAUCAAAAUUCAAAAGUAACUCAAUCCUGAGUUUCAGUUGGUUUAAUGACAAAUGAAUGUCAUGAAGAACAUAAAUAGCAGAGCUUCAUGGAUUCCACAUAUCCACUAAUGAAACAUUAUUUGAUACAUUUUAACUUUCAACUUUAUCCUAGCCCUUGAAGCCUCAAUUUCUAAUUUGUAACAAGAAUAACCUGAAAACAAAAUGAACCGUGACAGAAGGGGUUCCUCCACAUUAGCUUCUCAAUGAGAUAACGUGAAGUAAAGAAAGUGUUUCAGUGUUCUCUCCAUAUUUAACAUCCAAUAUUUAUAUUGAAAAACUACAAAAACUGAACAGUCAAAUAAUUUAAAUAAAGGAUAAGUGGGACCCAUGGAUUUCUGAAAUUCCUAGAUGAAUAAAUAUACAAGAAAAGUGAUCACUAUUGUUGAAGGUGUUUACUUUGAACAGAAACGCCAAGGGAUUAGGAGUACAACUGUAUAAGAAUAUAAAGUGUACCUCUAUUCUAAAGAGAUUGAAAGAUCAACCGGAACCACGAAAAAGCAACCACUAUUGUUUAUAGGUGCUUGCUUUGAACAGAAACACAAAAAGAAGCACAAGAAUAUAAUGUGUACUUUUAUCCUAAAGAGGUUUAAAGAUCAAAUAAGCAUGGAAAGAGAUCAAUUGGUAAUGCAUGUGAGCCAACUAUCUUGGGAAUUCACUCUUGGAAUCAUCUGUUUUGUCCACUCACCUCGUCACUUUUCCUCUUUCAAUCCACAAUUUAACUGAGACACACACUCAAGCUUGCACCCAACAAAUAAAAUUGCAUAUUUCCAUGCAGCAACUAAUGCCAAAAGGCUGGUAAAGGUUUAUAGAAUGAAGUACUUCACCCAGUUCUCCCGCUUACCUUGAGAAUCCAAUUUAAAGCUACAGCACUUGGUGCGGCCUGAUUUCUCGAAACUCCUACUGAACUCAGGAGUGUUUGUGUAGUGAAUACGCCCAUCGCUCCACCAAAAAAGUGCUACAAAUAAAAGUAACAAUGCUGUAAAUAUUCUAUAGCAAUCAGGAAACAACUAAAAGGUGUAAAUACCAACAAAUUGAUUCAUGAUAAAUGAUGUACAUGGUACCAUAAAUAUAACUAAAUACCUUCAAUGCUCUCCAAGUCAUGUAUGGAACAUAAGCAGGUGUGACACUGUCAGGAAAACCUUCGGGGACCACAUACGACCUUAUAAAUGACAUCAACCCCUGCACCACAAAGAUGACAUAACUGAGAGAAAGGUAAAUAUAUUUUGCAACCAAAUUACUUAUUCUUGAAAUCUAACCGUUCAGUUCCCCUUCUCCACCUCUUUGUUCCCCUCUAAUUUUUCAAUGAUUUGCAUGUAAUGUGUAGAGAGAUAUUAUUAUUUUAUUUCUGUUUUCUUCGUAAUGUUAACCAUGAUUAAUACCUACCCAGCUAUUACUGCAAGAUGUCUAUACGCAAAUUGCAAUUAUAAAAUAUGAAAUAUCGCUGCUAAGUACUAAACCACUUAGUACAGGAGCUAUACAAAUUCUCUAACAAAAAUUUUGAAGUGGAAAAAAAUAUUUGAAAAAAGAUGGUUAUUAUCCUAGACUCUCAUUUUGCUGUUGAAUAAAAUACCAAAAGCAGUUCAUAUUUAAAGCAAAUGAUUAAUCAAAAAACUUCACGAACAAUAUUUCAGUUCAUAAAAUGGGAAGUCACCAUUUUUUGGGAAGAAACAAAUGCAAUUUCUUUUUUUUUCUUUUUUUUGAAAGGUAAAAUCCCAUUUCAUAUUUGCAAUAACAAACGUCCGAAAGCUCAAAUUAAGUACAUCACCGCAAAAAUAUAAUUCAAUUAUGUUAAUUCAUUCUCGCUCAAAAGGAUUUUAAUAUCAAUGUAAAUGCUUAGAUACAGAGAAACAGCAGGAAACAAAAAGAACCAAGAAGAAGAAGAGAAUACUGACAUCAAAAGGGGCCUGGGGAUAAUGCAAGCUAACAGUACGAAUAGAAUUCUUCUUAAAUUUUUCCGAACUGUUAGUUUUAACACUGUUAUUAUCAGCGAAAUAUUUCCACCGCUGGCCAUCGAUCUCCUCACAACAGAUCAAUCUGAAGCUGGAAUCAAGAAACUGGUCCUCGACAAGUCCGCCAAAUUUGGAAUCCCGAAUCAAUUCCAGCUCAGGCACCGCCGGCGGCGGAGGUGCCGAUGCGAGGUUGGCGCUAAUGCGUAAUGUCUCACGGACAAGUAAACGCGUCUCGGAGGAGGUUAGGGUUUGAGAAGUGGAAUUGGACGGGUGCUUAAGUUUCAUUUUGUAAUCAGAAGAUUUACAGCAGAGAAUUUGGGGAAUAUGAGAAUGAGAAUUGGCUGUAUAUAAUUAUGUGUGUGUGUGUAUAGAGAGAGAGAGAGAGUAUGAAUAGAAAAGUACAGAUGGUGAACGGAGCUUAAGAGAGUUUUUCUUGUUAUGUUUUUUGUUGCUCUGCU